AAGUCGCACUUCCGUAUAUCGAGCCAUUUUUACAAAAAAGUUUAUAUAUCAGUCGCACCUUUGUAUAAGUCGCACCUCUUUGCAUGGUUUACGCUUUUCUUUUUACGCUGAUCGGUACCGCGAGACCGGAAUUUCUCAUUGGUAAUCAGCUGGUUCAUACGUACUGUACCGUUUGACGCCUGAUGAUGUUUAGAUUAGCGAGAAAUGCCUAGAGCACGGCACUCUCUGGCAGGGGCAGUCAGGAUAUUCGGAACUGAAGGACGCAAAAUGAGCUGGCCAGCUUUACUCAAGCGUACGCAUGCUGAGCAAACGAAAGUUUAACGUGCCAGAAACCUGUCAACAGUGGCUAGGCUUAGUGGGCGGCCCACUAAGCCUAGCCAGGGAGACAAUACGAACGUAUUACCUUGAAGUGUUAUUGGAGUGAGGCAAGAUAUGGAACCAUGACUGAAUUAGGCUACGUCAACAAAACUUUUAUUAUCACUGCCACACUGUCCAGUCAAUAAAGCCAUUGAAUUCCUUGCUUUCCGAGUCACUUUGGAAGAGUGCGGCGAUCACUGGAUCUAACGCGAUGGGCUCUUCGUCGUCGUCAGGCCCGCUGCUGUAGUCGCUUUCAGCGGCACCUCUCAGGUACAGAUUCAAUGAGACCGGCUUUUCUGAAACCGGUGGCUAUAGUCCCUAUGGAGACGGAGUUCCAGGCUUCACUGACCCACUCGGCCACCUCGCCCAAUGACGCGUGCCUCAUGCACCCAGUUUUCGUGAAACUUUGGUCACCUGCUUGUCAUCCAGGUUUCCCACAAACGCCGCAGGACAGCUUUGAAGCUGCAGUUCACGGAAAUGUUUAGUGGCUGCAGCAUCUUCGUCAUGCCGCCAGGAAUUAUGACCGGGAUGCAGUUCUUCGCUUUGAUGUUGGUCUUGACCAAAUCGGUCAUGUGCGCCCUCAUGCUGUCCAUAACUAGAAGGCCCUCAUUCGUGUGAAAGAAUCCGUCCGGUCGCCGUGGGGAGCAUUUCUCCAGCCAGAGCCCCAUCAUCUGUCCAUCCAGCCUUUCACGUUGCAUUGGAUGACGACUCCGGGCGGAAAACUGUCUUUAGGCAUAGUCUUUUUCUUAAAAAUAAUCAUGGGCGGCAAUUUGGUGCCAUCAGCGCAGAAGCCAACACGACGGUAAAAUCCGAUUUCUCGCGGCCGAUUGUUCUUACACUGACAGUCUUUUCGCUCUUCUUGGCCACGGUCCUGCCCAUCAGGAUAUCAAAAGUCAGAGGGACUUCGUCCAUGUUGACAAUUUGGUUAGGCCUAACAUCAUGGGUUUGAAUUUGUUCCCUGACGAAUGCCUGGAAACUCGCCGUCUUUUCCUUGAAAUCAUCUGGAGGUUUCUGGCAGACUGUUGUGCGGGCUCUGAUAGCUAGCUGGUGCCGUCUCAUGAAGCGGAAGCACCAAGACGGCCCUCCGACAAAGUCAACCACGUUCAUAUCUUUUGGCAAUGUUUGUGCCUUCAGCCGUAGCAGUGUAUGACCACGUGGAAAAGAAUUUAUCUCAAACACUUAUCUGUGCCAUGGUAUUGUAAUUUAUCCUGAGGGUGCAGCCAAAUUUUGGAUUGCUUUUGCAACAAUAUUGGGGAAAAUAUUUAUUUAUUGAAAGAUUGACAGACGAAGACUAAUAUUUGUCGGGACCCAGAUUAUGUUUCUUCACGUCUUCCCGGUGUUUUGAUAGUUGUUUCAAACAAAAAUGAGAAGGAAGGAAGGCAAGAUAAUCAUUGCGUCGACUUUAUUGCUCUUUUUGUUCAUUCAGUUUUGUUCAGCCCACGAGAAAGUUUUGCCUCGGUUGUAUGGAAAAGGCUGAACUCCAUUUGUGUCCGCAGAGAAACAUCGCCAUUUUUAACUGUAACUUUUGAUUGAGCCAAGCAUUUUUUCCAAAAUUUCACAAAACAAAAUGAUAAAUUACAGUACCCUAGCCGCCCAAAACAAUUUUUAUUAUUCUUGUUCUAUAGAUUUGUUAUAAUUGACCCACAAAGUAUACAUAGCAUCUCACAAAUAGCAGAUGUUAGAUCCGUAUUAAAUGUCUGUACUUGAAUCACUGCUAAGCUGACGGGGCAGUGAAAGCUACGUACUCUGUCUCUAGAUCAGUCAGUUACCUGCCGCUCAGUGCCUGAUGCAUUCUAUGCCCGUACCUACCCGGAGAGUAUGACCACGUUGUAUGCGUGCAACCUUUCAUUCAUUGUUCCUACGAGCAUGUAGCUUCUACCGCCCUGUCAGCCUAGCAGUGAACGUACUACUCAUUUGCUUGAGAGCUUGACCAUUCAUUUUUAAGGUUGGGACUCAAUUUGUUGUGCAGGUGCUUUGGACGUGCAUUUUGAGCAUGCUGUUUGUUGCCCACGAAGCCUUACUAUUGCCUAUAGAAUUUUUGUCAUCUCUUUCACAUUUCGGCACGAGUAUAUCAUGUCCGUAUAUCAUAUUCCUCUCAAGACGACAUCUGAAAGGCAAAGUGGAAGUACCUGAGGGAUAACUAUGCCAAGGAGGUGGCCAAGGUGGCAGGAACAGAGCCCAGUAUCUGUGGAACCUCAGACGUCUACAAGUUAAAGGGGAUCUGCUUUGGCAGCUUGAGCUUCCUGACUGGCACCUCCACUGUUCCGCAAAGUUAUACUUUUCAUAUUUCCCAUUGGUUACCGUAUAUCGCAUCGUCAUGCAGUUUACUUAGUAUGCAGCUACAAGGUUUUUUCUGUCAAUUACGCAAGUCAGAGGCUGCAGGAACGUAAGCAAAGCCAGUCCAGCACUCAAAUUGGAGGUAAGAUAGCAUAGAAUGUAUUUUAACGUCUCCUCAUCAGUAUGUUAGUGUGUUUAUAGUCACGUUUCCAUGUGCCAAUCACAAGUGAUCAUGUGCGAUGAAACUCUUCUAAUGAAUUCUAUGAGUGCCUCCAUCAUGCAGCCAGGCAUCUGGAUAUACCACAGGUGCAACCAAGCCAACUGAUGACCAAGAUCCUCUGCAUAACCUUGAAAAAGGUUAGAGCUGCAUCCCUCACAAGGCAGUCGGAGCAACUGAGUGAGGACCCACCUUCGCCCUUCCAGGACUCAGCUGUUUCCUUGGCUGCACAGCGUGGACUAGAGACAGAGAGUACACAUUCACCAAGCCCAACCCCUGCAGAUAUGAAGGAAGUGACCGAGUUGCCUGCUGCGCCUCAACCUGCUGGUGUUCAGCCAGUAAAGCGAAAGACGUCCAUGGAUAGUGGAAACACACCGAUAGAGCAGGUCCUGAGAGCAGCCGCUGCUAACCCGGGGUUCUCAGACUGCCCUCCAGAGCACACGGACAAGA
RNAcentral lists this long non-coding RNA (3301 nucleotides) under Ixodes scapularis (black-legged tick). RNAcentral describes it as "uncharacterized LOC121834616". Lineage: Eukaryota; Metazoa; Arthropoda; Arachnida; Ixodida; Ixodidae. The record is from RNAcentral.